RNAcentral lists this unclassified non-coding RNA (253 nucleotides) under uncultured fungus. Its description in RNAcentral is "partial contains 5.8S ribosomal RNA, internal transcribed spacer 2, and large subunit ribosomal RNA". The record is from RNAcentral. Lineage: Eukaryota; Fungi.
AACGCACCUUGCGCUCCUUGGCAUUCCGAGGAGCAUGCCUGUUCGAGUGUCAUGUUAAUCCUCAACCCUUGGGUUGGACUAUGGACGCUGCGGCGGCCCGCCUCCGCUCGUCCCAAACUUAUUAGGGGCCGCGCGAUCCGCCCGUCGGCGUUUAGUAAUGCUUGCGCCGCGCCAAGGUUCGGCGCCCUUUCCGCCGUCCCUGUGACUUUGACUUUCUGGCCUCGAAUCAGGUAGGACUACCCGCCGAACUUAA